GACGAACGCUGGCGGCGUGCUUAACACAUGCAAGUCGAACGGAAAGGCCCUGCUUUUGUGGGGUGCUCGAGUGGCGAACGGGUGAGUAACACGUGAGUAACCUGCCCUUGACUUUGGGAUAAUUUCAGGAAACUGGGGCUAAUACCGGAUAGGAGCUCCUGCUGCAUGGUGGGGGUUGGAAAGUUUCGGCGGUUGGGGAUGGACUCGCGGCUUAUCAGCUUGUUGGUGGGGUAGUGGCUUACCAAGGCUUUGACGGGUAGCCGGCCUGAGAGGGUGACCGGCAACAUUGGGACUGAGAUACGGCCCAGACUCCUACGGGAGGCAGCAGUGGGGAAUAUUGCACAAUGGGCGGAAGCCUGAUGCAGCAACGCCGCGUGCGGGAUGACGGCCUUCGGGUUGUAAACCGCUUUCGCCUGUGACGAAGCGUGAGUGACGGUAAUGGGUAAAGAAGCACCGGCUAACUACGUG
RNAcentral lists this ribosomal RNA (468 nucleotides) under uncultured bacterium. Its description in RNAcentral is "partial 16S ribosomal RNA". It matches the Rfam family "Bacterial small subunit ribosomal RNA", at positions 28 to 507 of the family's 1533-position model. The record is from RNAcentral.